UGGGGAAUAUUGCACAAUGGGGGAAACCCUGAUGCAGCGACGCCGCGUGAGCGAAGAAGUAUUUCGGUAUGUAAAGCUCUAUCAGCAGGGAAGAAAUAGGACGGUACCUGACUAAGAAGCACCGGCUAAAUACGUGCCAGCAGCCGCGGUAAUACGUAUGGUGCAAGCGUUAUCCGGAUUUACUGGGUGUAAAGGGAGCGUAGACGGUUGUGUAAGUCUGAUGUGAAAGCCCGGGGCUCAACCCCGGGACUGCAUUGGAAACUAUGUAACUAGAGUGUCGGAGAGGUAAGCGGAAUUCCUAGUGUAGCGGUGAAAUGCGUAGAUAUCACGAAGAACUCCGAUUGCGAAGGCAGCUCACUGGAGCGCAACUGACGCUGAAGCUCGAAAGUGCGGGUAUCGA
Molecule: ribosomal RNA, 400 nt
Filed under: uncultured bacterium
Lineage: Bacteria
Description: bacterial SSU rRNA
Rfam family: Bacterial small subunit ribosomal RNA
Source: RNAcentral